RNAcentral lists this ribosomal RNA (489 nucleotides) under uncultured bacterium. RNAcentral describes it as "partial 16S ribosomal RNA". It matches the Rfam family "Bacterial small subunit ribosomal RNA", at positions 30 to 507 of the family's 1533-position model. The record is from RNAcentral.
UUGAACGCUGGCGGCAGGCCUAACACCUGCAAGUCGAACGGUAACAGGAAGAAGCUUGCUUCUUUGCUGACGAGUGGCGGACGGGUGAGUAAUGUCUGGGAAACUGCCUGAUGGAGGGGGAUAACUACUGGAAACGGUAGCUAAUACCGCAUAACGUCGCAAGACCAAAGAGGGGGACCUUCGGGCCUCUUGCCAUCGGAUGUGCCCAGAUGGGAUUAGCUAGUAGGUGGGGUAACGGCUCACCUAGGCGACGAUCCCUAGCUGGUCUGAGAGGAUGACCAGCCACACUGGAACUGAGACACGGUCCAGACUCCUACGGGAGGCAGCAGUGGGGAAUAUUGCACAAUGGGCGCAAGCCUGAUGCAGCCAUGCCGCGUGUAUGAAGAAGGCCUUCGGGUUGUAAAGUACUUUCAGCGGGGAGGAAGGGAGUAAAGUUAAUACCUUGGCUCAUUGACGUUACCCGCAGAAGAAGCACCGGCUAACUCCGUG